Molecule: ribosomal RNA, 775 nt
Filed under: uncultured marine archaeon
Lineage: Archaea
Description: bacterial SSU rRNA
Rfam family: Archaeal small subunit ribosomal RNA
Source: RNAcentral
GAGCUACCGCUAUUGGAGUUCGAUUAAGCCAUGCGAGUCGAGAGUCUUAGGGACUCGGCGUACCGCUCAGUAACACGUGGGUAACCUGCCCUAUGCUGGGGAAUAACCUCGGGAAACUGAGAAUAAUGCCCCAUAGUCCACCAUGCCUGGAACGGUUGGUGGAUGAAAGCUCCGGCGGCAUAGGAUGGGCCCGCGGCGUAUCAGGUCGUAGGGGGUGUAACGUACCCUCUAGCCAUCGACGCGUACGGGUGUUGGGAGACAUAGCCCGGAGAUGGAUUCUGAGACACGAAUCCAGACCCUACGGGGUGCAGCAGGCGCGAAAACUUGGCAAUGCGAGAAAUCGUGACCAGGGAACUCCAAGUGGCUGGGGUAAGACCCAGUCUUUUCUUGACUCUUCAAAGGUCUUGGAAUAAGGGGUGGGUAAGGACGGUGCCAGCCGCCGCGGUAAUACCGGCGCCUCAAGUGGUAGUCGAUUUUAUUGGGCCUAAACGUCCGUCGCCUGUUUGGUACAUUCGUGGGUAAAUCAACCAGCUCAACUGGUUGAAUUCUGCGAGCACGGCCAGACUUGGGACCGGGAGAGGUGUGGGGUACGCUCAGGGUAGGGGUAAAAUCCUGUCAUCCUGAGCGGACCACCUGUUGCGAAGGCUCCACACUAGAACGGAUCCGACGGUCAGGGACGAAGCCUAGGGGCACGAACCGGAUUAGAUACCCGGGUAGUCCUAGGUGUAAACGCUGUGGACUUGGUGUUGGGAAGGUUCCGAGCCUUCUCAGUGCC